CAAGUCCUCAUGGCCCUUUAUGUUCUGGGCUACACACGUGCUACAAUGGCCGGUACAGACGGACGCAAAGCCGCGAGGUGGAGCAAAUCCGAAAAAGCCGGUCUCAGUUCGGAUUGCAGGCUGCAAUUCGCCUGCAUGAAGUCGGAAUCGCUAGUAAUCGCAGGUCAGCAUACUGCGGUGAAUACGUUCCCGGGCCUU
Molecule: ribosomal RNA, 198 nt
Filed under: uncultured Pelotomaculum sp.
Lineage: Bacteria; Bacillati; Bacillota; Clostridia; Eubacteriales; Desulfotomaculaceae
Description: partial 16S ribosomal RNA
Rfam family: Bacterial small subunit ribosomal RNA
Source: RNAcentral